Molecule: non-coding RNA, 96 nt
Organism: Pelobates cultripes (western spadefoot toad)
Lineage: Eukaryota; Metazoa; Chordata; Amphibia; Anura; Pelobatidae
Source: the annotation of a GenBank genome assembly
GCCGCAAGGCUAACAAGGCAUUUGGGGGGCGGCUUUUUUUGCCGCCCCCUGGAAAAUGCCGCCCAAGGCAAAUGCCUUGUUUGCCUCGCAGUGUUA